GCGGUUAUGGUGGAAAUGGUAGACACGCAGCGUUGAGGUCGCUGUGGCUAUAUCAGCCUUGGAAGUUCAAGUCUUCUUAACCGCACCA
Molecule: transfer RNA, 88 nt
Filed under: Anaplasma phagocytophilum
Lineage: Bacteria; Pseudomonadati; Pseudomonadota; Alphaproteobacteria; Rickettsiales; Anaplasmataceae
Also listed under: 21 other names
Description: transfer RNA-Leu
Rfam family: tRNA
About the family: Transfer RNA (tRNA) molecules are approximately 80 nucleotides in length. Their secondary structure includes four short double-helical elements and three loops (D, anti-codon, and T loops).
Source: RNAcentral